GACGAACGCUGGCGGCGUGCUUAACACAUGCAAGUCGAGCGGUAAGGCCCUUCGGGGUACACGAGCGGCGAACGGGUGAGUAACACGUGGGUGACCUGCCCUCCACUUCGGGAUAAGCCUGGGAAACUGGGUCUAAUACCGGAUAGGACCACUGGACGCAUGUCUGGUGGUGGAAAGUUUUUUCGGUGGGGGAUGGGCCCGCGGUCUAUCAGCUUGUUGGUGGGGUGAUGGCCUACCAAGGCGACGACGGAUAGCCGGCCUGAGAGGGUGAUCGGCCACACUGGGACUGAGACACGGCCCAGACUCCUACGGGAGGCAGCAGUGGGGAAUCUUGCGCAAUGGGCGGAAGCCUGAUCCAGCAACGCCGCGUGAGGGAUGACGGCCUUCGGGUUGUAAACCUCUUUCAGUACCGACGAAGCGUGAGUGACGGUAGGUACAGAAGAAGGACCGGCCAACUACGUGCCAGCCGCCGCGGUAAAAC
Molecule: ribosomal RNA, 481 nt
Filed under: uncultured bacterium
Lineage: Bacteria
Description: bacterial SSU rRNA
Rfam family: Bacterial small subunit ribosomal RNA
Source: RNAcentral